Molecule: ribosomal RNA, 581 nt
Filed under: uncultured bacterium
Lineage: Bacteria
Description: bacterial SSU rRNA
Rfam family: Bacterial small subunit ribosomal RNA
Source: RNAcentral
CCUACGGGAGGCAGCAGUGAGGAAUAUUGGUCAAUGGGCGAGAGCCUGAACCAGCCAAGUAGCGUGCAGGACGACGGCCCUAUGGGUUGUAAACUGCUUUUAUGCGGGGAUAAAACGCGGGACGUGUCCCGCCUUGCAGGUACCGCAUGAAUAAGGACCGGCUAAUUCCGUGCCAGCAGCCGCGGUAAUACGGAAGGUCCGGGCGUUAUCCGGAUUUAUUGGGUUUAAAGGGAGCGUAGGCCGCUUUGUAAGCGUGUUGUGAAAUUUGCCGGCUCAACCGGUAACUUGCAGCGCGAACUGCAGAGCUUGAGUGUGCGCAACGUUGGCAGAAUUCGUCGUGUAGCGGUGAAAUGCUUAGAUAUGACGAAGAACUCCGAUUGCGAAGGCAGCUGACGGGAGCACUACUGACGCUGAAGCUCGAAAGUGCGGGUAUCGAACAGGAUUAGAUACCCUGGUAGUCCGCACGGUAAACGAUGGAUGCCCGCUGUUUGCACAUUGUUGCAAGCGGCCAAGCGAAAGCGUUAAGCAUCCCACCUGGGGAGUACGCCGGCAACGGUGAAACUCAAAUGAAUUGACGGGGA